CGCAAUGGGGGAAACCCUGACGCAGCAACGCCGCGUGAGUGAUGAAGGCCUUCGGGUCGUAAAGCUCUGUCAGAGGGAAAGAAAUGCGGGAGGGUUAAUACUCCUUUUGCUUGACGGUACCCUCAAAGGAAGCACCGGCUAACUCCGUGCCAGCAGCCGCGGUAAUACGGAGGGGGCGAGCGUUGUUCGGAAUUAUUGGGCGUAAAGCGCGUGUAGGCGGUCUUUUAAGUCUGAUGUGAAAGCCCCGGGCUCAACCUGGGAAGUGCAUUGGAAACUGGGAGACUUGAAUACGGGAGAGAGUAGUGGAAUUCCUAGUGUAGGAGUGAAAUCCGUAGAUAUUAGGAGGAACACCGGUGGCGAAGGCGGCUACCUGGACCGAUAUUGACGCUGAGACGCGAAAGCGUGGGGAGCAAACAG
This 417-nucleotide ribosomal RNA is filed under the name uncultured bacterium. Its description in RNAcentral is "bacterial SSU rRNA". It matches the Rfam family "Bacterial small subunit ribosomal RNA", at positions 367 to 775 of the family's 1533-position model. The record is from RNAcentral.